Molecule: long non-coding RNA, 1058 nt
Organism: Struthio camelus australis
Lineage: Eukaryota; Metazoa; Chordata; Aves; Struthioniformes; Struthionidae
Source: RefSeq, a predicted model, not a curated record
UGAUUGGUCAGGAUUAAAAAAAAAGAAUUUUGGACAAAGCUGUGGUGUCAUCGACGAUGGCUAUUCUUAUGUUGAAGAACUUCUCCAAAUGCUGAAAAUUUAUGCGAAGAAAAAAGAUCUGAAGUAAAUUCACCACUUCCUCAUCCUCUACUACAUUUUAUAAUUGGCUGAUUUCAUAACAUUUUCUAAUAGAGUUCCUUUGAGGUAGUGACUGAAGCAGUAUUUUGGUUGAAGUGUUUGGAGAACAAACUUCACUGUGAUACUUAGCAGCCUUUAUACCAGGACUGAACAGAAACUGAGGAAUCUUUUGCAACAGCAGGGAAGAAUAACUCCCUGCUUGGCAGUGAGUAUGUUCCCAGUGAAGCAAAGUUGAGCUCUGCAGCCACUGGGGGAAAAGGUGAAAGCCAAGCCUGGAUCUCUGCAAUGUCUGACACUCAGACUAACAACAUUACCCUGUGAUUAGACUACUUAAUGUAAAAUAUUGAUGACUGAAGAAAAGAUUUCGAAAGUGAAGAAAGCACUUGAGUCACCACCAAGAAAAGAAAAACAACCCAGGAGGAAAAGACCACCUACAACUGAUGAGGGGCCAGACACCUGCCUUUAAUUGAGUGCCUAAAGAAAACAGUAUAUGGCCACCCUUUAAUUCGUAAUGAGUUCUGACUUGCUUUGACAUAAGCUAUGUGAACUGCCAUGUGUGCUGUUAGUUGAAGCUGAGAAGGAAAUUCUUAGGCAGUGUCUCGGUGCUGGAGCGUGUUAUAUGUGUGGACCUGAAGCAUGGUCCAAAAUUUGAAAAACAGGAUAAACCCCAGCCUGGCUGAAUAUGAAGGGUAAAAAUUAUUUCUUGCGUAGCAGCAUAACAUUAAUGAGAACAGGCAAGAUGGUGGCAGAGAGACCUGUGUGGUAAGGGAUACACUGGACAAGUAUAUUAAAUCUAUAGAUUGAAGUGUAACGGUGUGAGCACCUUUGUCACAACACUGCUCAUUCUAUGUCUUUCUCCUCUUCCCUGAAAUUAAGGUGGGAAAAGAUAGAAAUGUUAUGAUCUAAUAUGGAAAAAGAUA